Molecule: long non-coding RNA, 816 nt
Filed under: Vigna radiata
Lineage: Eukaryota; Viridiplantae; Streptophyta; Magnoliopsida; Fabales; Fabaceae
Description: long non-coding RNA (VRAD_LNC002883)
Source: RNAcentral
GCCAUGGAGUAGUUUGUCCAGCCAUCUCCUCUGCUCUUCGAACUGGUGAAGGUGAUAGUAAUCUUUCAGAAGAAGGAAAAAAAUCCCUAGAUGGGCGUCUGACUCUCCUUCUUCCCCUUGCCUCACUUAAGCCUUCAAGAAGAGGUUGCGUACUUUUCUUGCUCCUAGUAUGUCUAGUCUCCUACUGCAUGCACAAGAAACACAAACCCUAGUAGCACUUUUAUAUAAAAAUAAAAAUAAAACAAAAACAAAAACAAAAGCACAAUAUAUACACUCAAGUCAAAUUCAAUCAAGUUACACUAGUAGAUAAGUUAAACCGCGAGUCCCCGGCAACGACGCCAAAAACGUGUUAAGUCCUUGGCAAGUGUACCAGAUCGUUAUCAAGUAAUAUAUGGGUAAGUCCAAGUAUCGUUUCCCGAAGGAUUCUUAGGCCUUAACUUUCGUGUAACCUAAUUGUGUAAGAUUUGAGAAGAAAUUGAUUUUAAGUUUUUAAAUGCAAAAACAAAAGUAAACAUGAAAAUGCAGUGAAUCAAUGGUUGAGGAAAAACUAUGGAUGAAUGGUGUUGUUGGGGUUUACAAUUUCAUCUUAUCCACCCUCAUAUAUCUACUUUUCUUAUUUAAUUCGCUUAUUUAUCAUAUUGCCAUGCAAAAUUUCUUUGUCUACCCUUAACCCAAUCCCUUGGCGAAAAGAGCCUAUUACUAAUUAUCGGCUUGCUAUCCCUAGCCUCCCCUAGUAACUAAUAAUGCAUAAUAAACGGAAGAAAAAUACAAUUGAUCGUCCUACCCCUAUCCCUAGGCGGUAUUAGCAUAAUCAAG